This 305-nucleotide ribosomal RNA is filed under the name uncultured bacterium. Its description in RNAcentral is "partial 16S ribosomal RNA". It matches the Rfam family "Bacterial small subunit ribosomal RNA", at positions 506 to 807 of the family's 1533-position model. The record is from RNAcentral.
ACAGCAGUAGCCGCGGUAAUACGUAGGGUGCAAGCGUUAAUCGGAAUUACUGGGCGUAAAGCGUGCGCAGGCGGUUAUGUAAGACAGUUGUGAAAUCCCCGGGCUCAACCUGGGAACUGCAUCUGUGACUGCAUAGCUAGAGUACGGUAGAGGGGGAUGGAAUUCCGCGUGUAGCAGUGAAAUGCGUAGAUAUGCGGAGGAACACCGAUGGCGAAGGCAAUCCCCUGGACCUGUACUGACGCUCAUGCACGAAAGCGUGGGGAGCAAACAGGAUUAGAUACCCCCGUAGUCCCUGUCUCUUAUAC